This 409-nucleotide ribosomal RNA is filed under the name bacterium enrichment culture clone ALO1_GLFRUDD03GID6J. RNAcentral describes it as "bacterial SSU rRNA". It matches the Rfam family "Bacterial small subunit ribosomal RNA", at positions 9 to 418 of the family's 1533-position model. The record is from RNAcentral.
GAGUUUGAUCUUGGCUCAGAUUGAACGCUGGCGGCAUGCCUUACACAUGCAAGUCGAACGGCAGCACGGGAGCUUGCUCCUGGUGGCGAGUGGCGAACGGGUGAGUAAUGCAUCGGAACGUAUCCUGGAGUGGGGGAUAACGUAGCGAAAGUUACGCUAAUACCGCAUAUUCUGUGAGCAGGAAAGCGGGGGACCUUCGGGCCUCGCGCUCUUGGAGCGGCCGAUGUCGGAUUAGCUAGUUGGUGAGGUAAAGGCUCACCAAGGCGACGAUCCGUAGCAGGUCUGAGAGGAUGAUCUGCCACACUGGGACUGAGACACGGUCCAGACUCCUACGGGAGGCAGCAGUGGGGAAUUUUGGACAAUGGGGGCAACCCUGAUCCAGCCAUGCCGCGUGAGUGAAGAAGGCCUC